CCAGACUCCUACGGGAGGCAGCAGUGGGGAAUAUUGCACAAUGGGGGAAACCCUGAUGCAGCGACGCCGCGUGAGUGAAGAAGUAUUUCGGUAUGUAAAGCUCUAUCAGCAGGGAAGAAAAUGACGGUACCUGAUUAAGAAGCCCCGGCUAACUACGUGCCAGCAGCCGCGGUAAUACGUAGGGGGCAAGCGUUAUCCGGAUUUACUGGGUGUAAAGGGAGCGUAGACGGCAGCACAAGUCUGGAGUGAAAUGCCGGGGCUUAACCCCGGAACUGCUUUGGAAACUGUGCAGCUAGAGUGCAGGAGAGGUAAGCGGAAUUCCUGGUGUAGCGGUGAAAUGCGUAGAUAUUAGGAGGAACACCAGUGGCGAAGGCGGCUUACUGGACUGUAACUGACGUUGAGGCUCGAAAGCGUGGGGAGCA
Molecule: ribosomal RNA, 422 nt
Filed under: uncultured bacterium
Lineage: Bacteria
Description: bacterial SSU rRNA
Rfam family: Bacterial small subunit ribosomal RNA
Source: RNAcentral